CACGUAGGGCGCAAGCGUUGUCCGGAAUUAUUGGGCGUAAAGAGCUCGUAGGCGGUCUGUUACGUCUGCUGUGAAAACCCUGGGCUUAACCUUGGGCUUGCAGUGGAUACGGGCAGACUAGAGGCAGGUAGGGGAGAAUGGAAUUCCCGGUGUAGCGGUGAAAUGCGCAGAUAUCGGGAGGAACACCGGUGGCGAAGGCGGUUCUCUGGGCCUGACCUGACGCUGAGGAGCGAAAGCGUGGGGAGCGAACAGG
Molecule: ribosomal RNA, 253 nt
Filed under: uncultured bacterium
Lineage: Bacteria
Description: partial 16S ribosomal RNA
Rfam family: Bacterial small subunit ribosomal RNA
Source: RNAcentral